UUUGUCGCUAAGAUUCGAC
RNAcentral lists this small nuclear RNA (19 nucleotides) under Arabidopsis thaliana (thale cress). RNAcentral describes it as "snRNA_06345". The record is from RNAcentral. Lineage: Eukaryota; Viridiplantae; Streptophyta; Magnoliopsida; Brassicales; Brassicaceae.